AAGGAACAUACAGGACUGAUAGCGGUAGGGUAGAAGGAGUCUCCCUAAGUAUAUGGGACUUUGCUGGACAAGACAUAUACUACACAACCCAUCAGGUGUUUCUGACGUGGCGAGCCAUUUAUGUCAUUGUCUUUGAUCUCAGAAGUUUGUGUCCUGACGUUCCCCCUGACGAAAUGGCUAAAGGAGGUGCCAAAUCAGAACUGAAAUGUCUAGAGUUCAUCAAUUUCUGGUUGUGUUCCAUCUUCGCCCAUGCUGUGGCGCCUUCUUCAGUCAUCAACAAGAAAACGUCUAAAACCGCUGAGAUAUCUCCACCAAUAUUCAUUGUUGGAACGCAUCGAGGAAGUGUGAAAGGAGAUGUAAAAGUACAAUAGUGCU
This is a long non-coding RNA of Strongylocentrotus purpuratus (purple sea urchin), 375 nucleotides long. RefSeq lists it as uncharacterized. The record is from RefSeq and is a predicted model, not a curated record. The transcript has 3 exons. Lineage: Eukaryota; Metazoa; Echinodermata; Echinoidea; Camarodonta; Strongylocentrotidae.